GGGAGUAUAGCCCAGUGGUAGGGCGCUUGCUUAGAUUGCAUGAGGUCCUGGGUUCAAUCCCCAGUUCCUCCA
This is a non-coding RNA of Camelus dromedarius (Arabian camel), 72 nucleotides long. The record is from the annotation of a RefSeq genome assembly. Lineage: Eukaryota; Metazoa; Chordata; Mammalia; Artiodactyla; Camelidae.